GGGGGUUUGGAGGGAGGGGUGCCUGUGGGCGCCACGGGAAACUGUCAGUGCCUGAGCUGCUUGGCUUAGGGGCUGGCACCAGAGUGGGCAGCUGCCUCCAGCCCCGCCUUUCCAGCCUCCCAUGUUUUCGGUGAUGACCACAGUGGCACCUGGGCCUUUAAUCCCACCCCAGCGUUCCUCCUCUGGCAGGGGGCCCCCGGGGAGCCACACCUUGGCUUCAGCCUCACACCACCCCAUCUCUUCUCCUUGAAACAGACACCCGGCGGCAGUUCCUGCAGGAAGGAGGCUGUCCUGCCACGCCUGCGGGUGACCCGGCCUCUGGUGCCAGAGCCUGCCAUCCUUCCUGUUUGUGCUGCCAGGCUGGCAGGGUCCCUUGCCACCGACCUCAGCCGCAGCCACAGCCUGCUCCCUCCCUGGGUGGAUUUGAAGGAGCCUCCCCCACCCUCCGCCCCUAGCUUGCUCCUUGAGGACCCUGGGCAGGGUGGCUGCCAUGGGGCCCAAUCGUGCGUGGGAACCUGCGAGCUGGCAAACGGGGCUCGGGGGUUUUGCCCAGAAAUGGGUCAGAACGAAAGCCUCUCAGAGGAAAGAAAAGGGCAUGAGUCAAAGAGAAAGUCGGGGGGCAGGGGCUCCCCCUCAUCUCACCCCACCCAGGCCUCCUGACUCCCUGGGUUUGUGCGGACCCAGGCAGGCAGCCAACCCCAGCUCCGUGGUGUGUGAGCAUCGUGAUGAUCAGGACACAAGCUCUUCCCCGCUGAGCCUUCACUGUGGGCCAGCUUCCCGGUGGAUGCCCACUGAAGAGGCCUCAACCCAGUGGGCCCCACUCCAGACCAAGAGCAGACCAUUGGCCAGCUGCCCCCUGCAGACAGCGGCACCCGGGGCAGCAGCAAGGUGAGGGGCACCCAGCCCCAGCCCCAGGGGCGUCUCAGGGAGCGGGCUGAGCCUGGCUGUCUUCCUGAGCCCCACCUGCUUCAUGGGUUGGCUUGAGCAAGGCAGUCCAGAUGCGUGUCUCGAGCGCUCCCUGGCGGCAUGCUGCAAAGCUACAUGGCUCCGGCAACAAGGAAGACUGCCCUUAUUCUCAGUAACAGGUGGAGCUGGGGGCUGGAGAGCCCCUCGGACCUCGCCUUGGGAAAGCUGGGUGGGUGCACGGAGCCUGGCAGGUGGCCAAGGGGACCCCCAAGUGGAGGGAUUGGUCGAGGGGCAGCACAGGGUGGUGCAGUGGGUGAGCUCAGCCCCUCCCCUCCAACUCUCAUCCCAUUGAGCCCCAAGGCGUGGGGGGAUCACGUCUGUCCUUGUUCUCCUCCAGGUGGAGCUGCUGGGUGGGGCUCUGGUCCUCCAGGGACCCACUCUGCACCCCAAGUUUUGCCGGGACCCGCUCCUCUGUGUUGUGUGGCUGUAGGGGAGGGCUGCAGCCAGGGACUCUGAACCCGGGGCCGGCCCACCCAGCCACCCAGGGUGGGGAACAAGAUCGCCUCCCAGGGCCAGAAGCUGGGGAUGUCCUUGCUUCCUAGGAUGUUGGCUAGGGGAUCACACGCCCCACAUUCUGGGUCAAGCAUGGUCCUGCCCCAGCAUCUUGCUGGGUUGGGGGCAUCUCUGCACAGAUGAGUGCCACCCCAGCGUCUCCGCCAGGGUCUGGGCAUGUCACUCUUGGGCAUCUGUGCUCAGGAGGUCACCAGGUGUGGGCAGGGCACCAAGCAGGGAGGUAGCCGAGGCUGGAAGAUGCACAUCAGUGCCCCGCUGGGCUUCCUCAAGUGGGAACUGGUGGAGGGGGCGCUAGGCUGCCGGGCCAGGGUCAGCAGGCUCAGGCCGGCUCAGGGCUCAGAGUUGAGCCAGAAACCAAGGUGAAAUCUGCCUCUUACUGCCGCCAGGGCCCUUGGGACAGGGACAGGAACAGCAGAAGGUAAAGUGGAAAGGAAUUGAGUAAUGGGCCCCCAGGCAAGGCUGAGCCAGGCCCCAAGCCCAGGAUUGGGGUCUCCAGAGUCCCUGGGGGCCCCAGGGCAGCUCACCCACAGCCUGGGGCCUAUGGGAGCAAGGGGGCUCCUGAUGGGUGGGGGCAGGAGCUUGGACAAAGUUGAAGGCCUUCUGUCUGAAUUGGCCAGGGGCCAAUGAAAGCCAAAAAGCUGGUGUGGUGGCUUAUGCCUGUAAUCCCACUUUGGGAGGCCAAGGCGGGUGGAUCACCUGAGGUCAGGAGUUCGAGACCAGCCUGGUCAACAUGGUGAAACCCCAUCUCCACUAAAAAUAGCUGGGCGUGGUGGCAGGCACCUGUAUGUAAUCCCAAAUACUCGGGAGGCUGAGGCAGGAGAAUCACUUGAACCUGGGAGAUGGAGGUUGCAGAGAGCCAAGAUCAUAUCACUGCACUCCAGCCUGGCUGACAGAGUGAGAAUCUGUCUCAAAAAAAAAAAAAACAAUUCCAAAAAGGCGAGUGGGGAGCAGGGUGCUAGGCUGCAUGGGGGCCUAUGCCCCCACCGGAGGACCUAGCCCCCUGCCAACCCUUCCCCAGCUCAGGCCCACCAGCUCCCUUCUCACACAGCUGCUCUGGGAGGGAGUCCUUCCUUGCCAAUACCUAAGAGAAUGGGCAGCAGGGACCCUGAGGACAGGUUGGGGACACCCAGAACAAGAAGAAGAUGGGACACACUAGGAGGCUCUUGGGCCCCUGCGUCAGGCCAGCAGGAUAGGUGUGUAUUGUGACCUGAGGGACUGAACGUGGAGCUCCAGGGGAACCUCCCAGCCAGUGACACGCUGGCCUUGGGCCAGACGCUGCCCUGCGCCCUUGAGUGACGCUCGGGCCUCCCUGCACCCACCCGCUUUCCCUGUGGCUAAUGGCUUAGAGUGAAGGAUGGUGGGCGUGGGCGUGCCACGUGGGCUCAGCGUCCACCCUGCCCCAUGCACGCAGGCACCCAUCACACCAGGGCCCACACACAGGCUCCCAUCACACCCUGCCCCAUCACAGCAGUGCCCAGAGGGACAUGGGGCUCCCAGCUGAGGGCCAGCCCAAGGUCACAGCUGCCAGCGAAUGUCAACCAGAAAAACGUGAAAAGGAGACGACAGGCCUCGCCUCCCAGCCUACAUCUUUCUCCUGUGCUGGACGCUUCCUGCCCUCGAACAUCGGACUCCAAGUUCAGCUUUGAGACUCGGGCUGGCUCUCCAUGCUCCUCAGCUUGCAGACGGCCUAUUGUGGGACCUUGUGAUCGUGUGAGUUAAUACUUAAUAAACUCCCCUUCAUAUA
Molecule: long non-coding RNA, 3223 nt
Filed under: Homo sapiens (human)
Lineage: Eukaryota; Metazoa; Chordata; Mammalia; Primates; Hominidae
Description: lncAB596.1
Source: RNAcentral